RNAcentral lists this ribosomal RNA (429 nucleotides) under Bacteroidota bacterium. RNAcentral's name for it is "Bacteroidetes bacterium partial 16S ribosomal RNA". It matches the Rfam family "Bacterial small subunit ribosomal RNA", at positions 355 to 776 of the family's 1533-position model. Lineage: Bacteria; Pseudomonadati; Bacteroidota. The record is from RNAcentral.
UAGGGAAUCUUCCGCAAUGGACGCAAGUCUGACGGAGCAACGCCGCGUGAGUGAAGAAGGAUUUCGGUUCGUAAAACUCUGUUGUUAGAGAAGAACAGCGCAUAGAGUAACUGUUAUGCGUGUGACGGUAUCUAACCAGAAAGCCACGGCUAACUACGUGCCAGCAGCCGCGGUAAUACGUAGGUGGCAAGCGUUGUCCGGAUUUAUUGGGCGUAAAGCGAGCGCAGGCGGUCAAUUAAGUCUGAUGUGAAAGCCCCCGGCUCAACCGGGGAGGGUCAUUGGAAACUGGUUGACUUGAGUGCAGAAGAGGAGAGUGGAAUUCCAUGUGUAGCGGUGAAGUGCGUAGAUAUAUGGAGGAACACAAGUGGCGAAGGCGACUCUCUGGUCUGUAACUGACGCUGAGGCUCGAAAGCGUGGGGAGCGAACAGG